Long non-coding RNA from Xenopus tropicalis (tropical clawed frog), 358 nucleotides. RefSeq lists it as uncharacterized. The transcript is spliced from 3 exons. Lineage: Eukaryota; Metazoa; Chordata; Amphibia; Anura; Pipidae. The record is from RefSeq and is a predicted model, not a curated record.
CCCAGUGCCACCGAGUUAAAGUGGCAGAAAGCUACAGCGCUACAAUGAUUAAAGUUAUGGAGGCAACAGACUAGGCCCCUUGGCUGUCCCUUCCGUGCCGCUGCAACCCGACGAAUGCAAUCAAUAAGGAUUGUGAUGGAGUUUCUUCCCAGCAGUUGGCUGAAGAGCUGUAUGAGGAUCUGCCUUGCCUCAGGGAUCUGUAUGUCCUCUGAAGGCUACUGCACUGGCUGCUAUUCCCUGCAUCCUCUUGGAGCCUCCGGAGUUUCAGUACCUUUUUACCAUGUUUGCUUCCACACCAACUGCUAUUGCAAGGAACAAAAUAUGAAUAUUAAAAAAAAAAAACAAUGGAGAAGUAAAA